GUCCUAGCCGUAAACUAUGGUGACUAGGUGUUGGGCCCCAUCUGGGGUUCAGUGCCGUAGGUAACCUGUUAAGUCACCCACCUUGGGAGUACGGCCGCAAGGCUGAAACUCAAAGGAAUUGACGGGGGCCAGCACAAGCGGUGUAACAUGUGGUUCAAUUCGAUGCUACGCGAAGAACCUUACCUAGGCUUGACAUGCAAGAAGUAGGAUCCUGAAAGGGGGACGACUCGUAACCAGUCGAGAGCUUGCACAGGUGCUGCAUUGCUGUCGU
This 271-nucleotide ribosomal RNA is filed under the name uncultured bacterium. RNAcentral's name for it is "partial 16S ribosomal RNA". It matches the Rfam family "Bacterial small subunit ribosomal RNA", at positions 793 to 1055 of the family's 1533-position model. The record is from RNAcentral.